UCCACUGCUCAGUUGGUAAAGCACAAAGCUCUCAACCUUUUGGACGUGGGUUCAAUCCCUGUAGUGGAG
This 69-nucleotide transfer RNA is filed under the name Triticum urartu. It matches the Rfam family "tRNA". Rfam says of the family: Transfer RNA (tRNA) molecules are approximately 80 nucleotides in length. Their secondary structure includes four short double-helical elements and three loops (D, anti-codon, and T loops). Lineage: Eukaryota; Viridiplantae; Streptophyta; Magnoliopsida; Poales; Poaceae. The record is from Rfam by way of RNAcentral.